This 1091-nucleotide ribosomal RNA is filed under the name Triticum aestivum (bread wheat). Its description in RNAcentral is "partial small subunit ribosomal RNA". The record is from RNAcentral. Lineage: Eukaryota; Viridiplantae; Streptophyta; Magnoliopsida; Poales; Poaceae.
AAAAAAGGCAAGAGAAGAAUUAGUUUCAUGACGACACGCGACACACCCCUACGAUCCUACCCGCCACUCCACUCCCGGCUUUUACAUUCGAGGUUCAGGACCGGCCAGAGUGGAGCAAUGAAGGCCGUCGCCGGCCACCAGUACCACGGCGUCCACCCACCGUCGCCGACGCCGGCGACUAAGAUCUCCAUUCCUGUCUCCGCCGGCGGGGGCGCGGAGGCGGCGCUGCUCGGGAAGGGGCGGUACAAGGCAUGGACCCUCGCCGCCAUCGCCCUCCUCGCGCUCUGGUCCAUGUUCGCCGCCUCCGUCACCCUCCGCUGGUCCUCCGGCGACCUUGCCGCCGCCCCCUGGGACUUGAGUAGUCCCCUCCUCGACGACCUCGACCCGCUCGAGAUGGAGGAAAGGGAGAAACUAGUGCGCCGGAUGUGGGACUUGUACACGCGCACUGGUGAUCAUGUAUGGCUUCCGCGGUUCUGGCAAGAAGCAUUUGAGGCUGCAUAUGAGGAGCUUGCUGGUGAUGAUACGCCUGCAAGUGACGCAGCUGUAUCGGAGAUUGCUCGCAUGGCAAUUCACAGGCCUGAGCUUGAGCAGGCAGAAACAGUACACUGUGACCAUUUGGAGAAGUGGAGGCCCAAGCCUCCAGGGUGAAUGAGUAGAUGGUUCAUGCAAAAUUUGUCUGUCCCAUUUCAAGAGAAGAUUUUUUACAAAGAUCAUUUCAAGAGAAGAUCACUUGCUAACUGUGAUCAUCGCAUCAUUUCAACUUCUCUCCGUAGUCUUUCAUCUCUUUGUGCAGUAUGUGAAGUUAACUUGCACCUUCAUGAAGCGGACUGAUCCUCAUCUCCCUCGUAAGAAGUACUUUGGAAUUCUUAGUAACCAGAUGAGAAUAUCUCUAGUUAUGUAUGUUCUGCACAUAUCGAGAAGGAACAUCGCUGCGAAAAAAUUGGACACUGAAAUCAUUUCUGUGCUGGUUUUUCACUCCCCAUUAUAAGAAUCAUCGUGCAUCCACAUGCCCUUUGCGCAUGUGGUUAUAUGCAAUGUGCAUUAAUUUGAGAAGGUCCAUUCAACUCAAAUGGUGACAGGAAUCAACUUCG